RNAcentral lists this long non-coding RNA (202 nucleotides) under Elaeis guineensis (African oil palm). RNAcentral describes it as "long non-coding RNA (EGUI_LNC023455)". The record is from RNAcentral. Lineage: Eukaryota; Viridiplantae; Streptophyta; Magnoliopsida; Arecales; Arecaceae.
CUCUCUUGACUCUCAUUUUUUUUUCUCUCUAUUAUUUUCAAAGCUUCGACUAACUUAAGUAUUGAAGUGAACCAUCUUUGUAUGUACUUCAUCGCAUUGUGGAUCUCAUGCCGCAUCCAGCUCCAGCCAUAUUAGCACCACUCUAGAGCCUUGCAGCAAUAGUAAUAAUAUUAUAUAUUAUCUUAUAUGUAAUAUAAUAAAA